GCUGGAGUAGCUUAACGGUAGAGCGCAACACUGGGUUAUAAAAAAAUAGAUGAAUGCAAUAAUGAUUAUCGUUGAUGUAAGGGUUCGACUCCCUUCUCCAGCC
RNAcentral lists this transfer RNA (103 nucleotides) under Phocaeicola plebeius. RNAcentral's name for it is "tRNA-OTHER". It matches the Rfam family "tRNA". From Rfam's summary of the family: Transfer RNA (tRNA) molecules are approximately 80 nucleotides in length. Their secondary structure includes four short double-helical elements and three loops (D, anti-codon, and T loops). Lineage: Bacteria; Pseudomonadati; Bacteroidota; Bacteroidia; Bacteroidales; Bacteroidaceae. The record is from RNAcentral.